RNAcentral lists this small nuclear RNA (106 nucleotides) under Castor canadensis (American beaver). The record is from RNAcentral. Lineage: Eukaryota; Metazoa; Chordata; Mammalia; Rodentia; Castoridae.
GUACUCACUUCAGCAGCAUGUACACUAAAAUUGGAACAAUACAAAGAAAAUUAGCACAGCCCUGUAUAAGGAUGACACACAAAUUCAUGAAGCAAGUCAUAUUUUU